GAUGAACGCUAGCUACAGGCUUAACACAUGCAAGUCGAGGGGAAACGAUAUUGGAAGCUUGCUCCCGAUAGGCGUCGACCGGCGCACGGGUGAGUAACGCGUAUCCAACCUGCCCAUCACUUGGGAAUAACCUUGCGAAAGUCAGACUAAUGCCCAAUGACAUUUCUGGAAGGCCUCCGAAAUGAAUUAAAGAUUUAUCGGUGAUGGAUGGGGAUGCGUCUGAUUAGCUUGUUGGCGGGGUAACGGCCCACCAAGGCGACGAUCAGUAGGGGUUCUGAGAGGAAGGUCCCCCACAUUGGAACUGAGACACGGUCCAAACUCCUACGGGAGGCAGCAGUGAGGAAUAUUGGUCAAUGGGCGAGAGCCUGAACCAGCCAAGUAGCGUGCAGGAUGACGGCCCUAUGGGUUGUAAACUGCUUUUAUAAGGGAAUAAAGUGAGUCACGUGUGACUUUUUGCAUGUACCUUAUGAAUAAGGACCGGCUAAUUCUGUGCCAGCAGCCGCAGUAA
Molecule: ribosomal RNA, 508 nt
Filed under: uncultured bacterium
Lineage: Bacteria
Description: partial 16S ribosomal RNA
Rfam family: Bacterial small subunit ribosomal RNA
Source: RNAcentral